GUCCAGGUAGCUGCCUUCGCCAUGGAUGUUCCUCCUGAUCUCUACGCAUUUCACUGCUACACCAGGAAUUCCGCUACCCUCUACCACAUUCUAGUCAGCCAGUAUCCACUGCAGUUCCCAGGUUGAGCCCAGGGAUUUCACAACGGACUUAAAUAACCACCUACGCACGCUUUACGCCCAGUAAUUCCGAGUAACGCUUGCACCCUUCGUAUUACCGCGGCUGCUGGCACGAAGUUAGCCGGUGCUUAUUCUUUGGGUACCGUCAUCCCAACCGGGUAUUAACCAGCUGGAUUUCUUUCCCAACAAAAGGGCUUUACAACCCGAAGGCCUUCUUCACCCACGCGGUAUGGCUGGAUCAGGCUUGCGCCCAUUGUCCAAUAUUCCCCACUGCUGCCUCCCGUAGGAGUCUGGACCGUGUCUCAGUUCCAGUGUGGCUGAUCAUCCUCUCAGACCAGCUACGGAUCGUCGCCUUGGUGGGCCUUUACCCCGCCAACUAGCUAAUCCGACAUCGGCUCAUUCAAUCGCGCAAGGUCCGAAGAUCCCCUGCUUUCACCCGUA
RNAcentral lists this ribosomal RNA (558 nucleotides) under Stenotrophomonas maltophilia. RNAcentral describes it as "partial 16S rRNA". The record is from RNAcentral. Lineage: Bacteria; Pseudomonadati; Pseudomonadota; Gammaproteobacteria; Lysobacterales; Lysobacteraceae.